GCCCUGCUAGCUCAAUCGGUAGAGUGUGAGACUUUUAAUCUCAAGGUUGCGGGUUCGACCCCCGCGUGAGGCU
This 73-nucleotide transfer RNA is filed under the name Sphaerobolus stellatus SS14. RNAcentral describes it as "tRNA-Lys (TTT) (tRNA-Lys-TTT-5-1)". It matches the Rfam family "tRNA". Rfam says of the family: Transfer RNA (tRNA) molecules are approximately 80 nucleotides in length. Their secondary structure includes four short double-helical elements and three loops (D, anti-codon, and T loops). Lineage: Eukaryota; Fungi; Basidiomycota; Agaricomycetes; Geastrales; Sphaerobolaceae. The record is from RNAcentral.